RNAcentral lists this unclassified non-coding RNA (745 nucleotides) under Hevea brasiliensis (rubber tree). Lineage: Eukaryota; Viridiplantae; Streptophyta; Magnoliopsida; Malpighiales; Euphorbiaceae. The record is from RNAcentral.
AAAGGCAACCUACACUCAGAAGUCUUGCGAACAAUAAUUCUGGAACCAGAUGCAUCGGGUACAUUAUUGUCUAACAACACCAUUGAUUGAAGCGAGUAAUGCUGUGCUACACGGUGCGCAGCCAACCGUAAAUAUGAAGUGGGCAACUGCUGAAAUUCUAAUUGCUGCUGUGUAGGAUCAUGGAUAAACUUUUCAACAUCUUGCUCCAUCCUCAGAAUGGAGAGCCGCUCACGAGGGUUCUGCAAGGCUUCACGGAGGAACUGAUCGACCUGAUCAAUUAUAUCGUCCGACACUUUCUCACCAUUUCCGGUACUGGAAUAUAUCGACCCAUAACCCGACACCGACCCCGAAUGAACAGAAACAUCGGGGAAGAGCUCUUGAGGGGGUUGUUCAGAGUCUUUCUUCGAAUCCUUGAGCAUAAAACGGCUCAUCGUUUCCUCCAAAUCGGCCACCUCCCAGGACACGGGGGUUCCGAGAUCCUCCACCACAGAGCCCUCCAUAGAUUUCUAAGCUGAGACAGACACGGAGAAAGAGAAUUACUAGAGUUUAGGAGAGUAUGAUAAUUUGAUAAUAGCCAUCAAACUAAGCUUCGAUUUAUUUGGAUCGACGAUUUGAUUGGGAAUCCAGGGCUUGCGCGAUGCUGGAAUUUCAUGUGAGAAAUUUUGUAGUCUUUCAGAGUAAAUUUUGGGGCUAGGGUUUGGAAUUUGGUGUUAGAGAGAAAGGGGGACUCUCUAGAGAGAGAGUG